UUGCCUGUAGCUCAGUGGAAAGAGCAUAUGCUUUCUAAGCAGUCGAUCGCUGGUUCGAAUCCAGCCAGGCGAG
Molecule: transfer RNA, 73 nt
Filed under: Atlantibacter hermannii
Lineage: Bacteria; Pseudomonadati; Pseudomonadota; Gammaproteobacteria; Enterobacterales; Enterobacteriaceae
Also listed under: 1 other name
Description: tRNA-Arg
Rfam family: tRNA
About the family: Transfer RNA (tRNA) molecules are approximately 80 nucleotides in length.
Source: RNAcentral